CAGUCGCCGCGGGAAUACGUAGGUGGCAAGCGUUGUCCGGAAUUAUUGGGCGUAAAGGGCUCGCAGGCGGUUUCUUAAGUCUGAUGUGAAAGCCCCCGGCUCAACCGGGGAGGGUCAUUGGAAACUGGGAAACUUGAGUGCAGAAGAGGAGAGUGGAAUUCCACGUGUAGCGGUGAAAUGCGUAGAGAUGUGGAGGAACACCAGUGGCGAAGGCGACUCUCUGGUCUGUAACUGACGCUGAGGAGCGAAAGCGUGGGGAGCGAACAGGAUUAGAUACCCGCGUAGUCCCUGUCUCUUAUAA
RNAcentral lists this ribosomal RNA (301 nucleotides) under uncultured bacterium. RNAcentral describes it as "partial 16S ribosomal RNA". It matches the Rfam family "Bacterial small subunit ribosomal RNA", at positions 509 to 809 of the family's 1533-position model. The record is from RNAcentral.